This 254-nucleotide ribosomal RNA is filed under the name uncultured bacterium. RNAcentral describes it as "partial 16S ribosomal RNA". It matches the Rfam family "Bacterial small subunit ribosomal RNA", at positions 524 to 776 of the family's 1533-position model. The record is from RNAcentral.
UACGAAGGGGGCUAGCGUUGCUCGGAAUCACUGGGCGUAAAGCGCACGUAGGCGGGCUCUUAAGUCGGUGGUGAAAUCCUGGAGCUCAACUCCAGAACUGCCUCCGAUACUGAGAGUCUUCGAGUCCGGGAGAGGUGAGUGGAACUGCGAGUGUAGAGGUGAAAUUCGUAGAUAUUCGCAAGUACACCAGUGGCGAAGGCGGCUCACUGGCCCGGUACUGACGCUGAGGUGCGAAAGCGUGGGGAGCAAACAGG